AUGAAGUCUGGGCUCCGGCCCUCUCUCUUCUACACACUUGUGAACUUACACUGUUGCUUUGGCAGGUUUCCGGAGGGCGGCGAGAGCCCCCGAUGGUCAGGCCGAAAGGCGCCUGCCGAGGACAUUUAUCCACCCUUUUUGUAUCGUCUGAUUUUUGUUUAAAACAAAUAAAAUA
This 175-nucleotide unclassified non-coding RNA is filed under the name uncultured Taphrina. RNAcentral's name for it is "sequence contains ITS1". The record is from RNAcentral. Lineage: Eukaryota; Fungi; Ascomycota; Taphrinomycetes; Taphrinales.